AUUUACAGUUAUUAGUUUUGCCACUUUUCCCACAUCGGUGGAAAAAGUGGCAUGGGAGCCUUGAGGCUCCUAUAAAAGGAGUCUCAAGGCUCCAACAUAAACAUUAAGCUUGCCCAGUCGUUGAUGG
This is a long non-coding RNA of Ipomoea nil (Japanese morning glory), 127 nucleotides long. RefSeq lists it as uncharacterized. The transcript has 3 exons. The record is from RefSeq and is a predicted model, not a curated record. Lineage: Eukaryota; Viridiplantae; Streptophyta; Magnoliopsida; Solanales; Convolvulaceae.